RNAcentral lists this ribosomal RNA (399 nucleotides) under uncultured Comamonadaceae bacterium. RNAcentral describes it as "bacterial SSU rRNA". It matches the Rfam family "Bacterial small subunit ribosomal RNA", at positions 983 to 1382 of the family's 1533-position model. The record is from RNAcentral. Lineage: Bacteria; Pseudomonadati; Pseudomonadota; Betaproteobacteria; Burkholderiales; Comamonadaceae.
GACAUGUACGGAAUCCUUUAGAGAUAGAGGAGUGCUCGAAAGAGAGCCGUAACACAGGUGCUGCAUGGCUGUCGUCAGCUCGUGUCGUGAGAUGUUGGGUUAAGUCCCGCAACGAGCGCAACCCUUGUCAUUAGUUGCUACAUUCAGUUGGGCACUCUAAUGAGACUGCCGGUGACAAACCGGAGGAAGGUGGGGAUGACGUCAAGUCCUCAUGGCCCUUAUGGGUAGGGCUUCACACGUCAUACAAUGGUCGGUACAGAGGGUUGCCAACCCGCGAGGGGGAGCUAAUCCCACAAAGCCGAUCGUAGUCCGGAUCGCAGUCUGCAACUCGACUGCGUGAAGUCGGAAUCGCUAGUAAUCGUGGAUCAGCAUGUCACGGUGAAUACGUUCCCGGGUCUU